AGGCAAGUAGCUGCAGUGAUGGCUGCCAUCGAUGCUGGUACCGCCGCUUCAAUUGUGCCUACGUGUACCACAGUGAACAAAGCUGGGGGAGGGAUCCACCAGAAAAUCCAGGAAAGGGUUGUGAAAUGAGAUGACCUCUUCACUGUCAGCAAGCUAUGGUGCAUGUUUCAUGAAAAGCCUCAGAUGACGGGAGCCUGCCAGAAGACUCUUGAUGACCUGAAACUGCAUUACCUGGAUCUCUGCCUUAUCCACUGGCCUCUUGGGUUCAAGGCAGGAGAGGAGCUUCCCACCGAUGACAAAGGCAUGUCAAUACCCAG
Molecule: long non-coding RNA, 317 nt
Filed under: Otus sunia (Oriental scops-owl)
Lineage: Eukaryota; Metazoa; Chordata; Aves; Strigiformes; Strigidae
Description: lncRNA (ENSOSUG00000000370.1)
Source: RNAcentral